GGGUUGUGAGGUUAAGCGAACAAGCGUACACGGUGGAUGCCCUGGCAGUCAGAGGCGAUGAAGGACGUGCUAAUCUGCGAAAAGCGCCGGUAAGGUGAUAUGAACCGUUAUAACCGGCGAUGUCCGAAUGGGGAAACCCGGUGCACUUCGGUGCAUCAUCGUUAGCUGAAUACAUAGGCUAACGAAGCGAACCGGGGGAACUGAAACAUCUAAGUACCCCGAGGAAAAGAAAUCAACCGAGAUUCCCCCAGUAGCGGCGAGCGAACGGGGAACAGCCCAGAGCCUGAAUCAGCUUGUGUGUCAGUGGAACGGUCUGGAAAGGCCGGCGAUACAGGGUGACAGCCCCGUACACGAAGGCACACAGGCUGUGAGCUCGAUGAGUAGGGCGGGACACGUGAUAUCCUGUCUGAAGAUGGGGGGACCAUCCUCCAAGGCUAAAUACUCCUGACUGACCGAUAGUGAACCAGUACCGUGAGGGAAAGGCGAAAAGAACCCCGGCGAGGGGAGUGAAACAGAACCUGAAACCGUGUACGUACAAGCAGUGGGAGCCUUCGUAAGAGGGUGACUGCGUACCUUUUGUAUAAUGGGUCAGCGACUUAUAUUCUGUAGCAAGGUUAACCGUAUAGGGGAGCCGAAGGGAAACCGAGUCUUAACCGGGCGUUAAGUUGCAGGGUAUAGACCCGAAACCCGGUGAUCUAGCCAUGGGCAGGUUGAAGGUUGGGUAACACUAACUGGAGGACCGAACCGACUAAUGUUGAAAAAUUAGCGGAUGACCUGUGGCUGGGGGUGAAAGGCCAAUCAAACCGGGAGAUAGCUGGUUCUCCCCGAAAGCUAUUUAGGUAGCGCCUCGUGAACUCAUCUCCGGGGGUAGAGCACUGUUUCGGCUAGGGGGCCAUCCCGGCUUACCAACCCGAUGCAAACUGCGAAUACCGGAGAAUGUUAUCACGGGAGACACACGGCGGGUGCUAACGUCCGUCGUGAAGAGGGAAACAACCCAGACCGCCAGCUAAGGUCCCAAAGUCAUGGUUAAGUGGGAAACGAUGUGGGAAGGCCCAGACAGCCAGGAUGUUGGCUUAGAAGCAGCCAUCAUUUAAAGAAAGCGUAAUAGCUCACUGGUCGAGUCGGCCUGCGCGGAAGAUGUAACGGGGCUAAACCAUGCACCGAAGCUGCGGCAGCGACACUAUGUGUUGUUGGGUAGGGGAGCGUUCUGUAAGCCUGCGAAGGUGUGCUGUGAGGCAUGCUGGAGGUAUCAGAAGUGCGAAUGCUGACAUAAGUAACGAUAAAGCGGGUGAAAAGCCCGCUCGCCGGAAGACCAAGGGUUCCUGUCCAACGUUAAUCGGGGCAGGGUGAGUCGACCCCUAAGGCGAGGCCGAAAGGCGUAGUCGAUGGGAAACAGGUUAAUAUUCCUGUACUUGGUGUUACUGCGAAGGGGGGACGGAGAAGGCUAUGUCAGCCGGGCGACGGUCGUCCCGGUUUAAGCGUGUAGGCUGACUUUCCAGGCAAAUCCGGAAAGUUAAGGCUGAGGCGUGAUGACGAGGCACCACGGUGCUGAAGUGACAAAUGCCCUGCUUCCAGGAAAAGCCUCUAAGCAUCAGGUAACAUCAAAUCGUACCCCAAACCGACACAGGUGGUCAGGUAGAGAAUACCAAGGCGCUUGAGAGAACUCGGGUGAAGGAACUAGGCAAAAUGGUGCCGUAACUUCGGGAGAAGGCACGCUGACAUGUAGGUGAAGCCCCUGCGGGUGGAGCUGAAGUCAGUCGAAGAUACCAGCUGGCUGCAACUGUUUAUUAAAAACACAGCACUGUGCAAACACGAAAGUGGACGUAUACGGUGUGACGCCUGCCCGGUGCCGGAAGGUUAAUUGAUGGGGUUAUCGCAAGAGAAGCUCCUGAUCGAAGCCCCGGUAAACGGCGGCCGUAACUAUAACGGUCCUAAGGUAGCGAAAUUCCUUGUCGGGUAAGUUCCGACCUGCACGAAUGGCGUAAUGAUGGCCAGGCUGUCUCCACCCGAGACUCAGUGAAAUUGAACUCGCUGUGAAGAUGCAGUGUACCCGCGGCAAGACGGAAAGACCCCGUGAACCUUUACUACAGCUUGACACUGAACAUUGAGCCUUGAUGUGUAGGAUAGGUGGGAGGCUUUGAAGCGUGGACGCCAGUCUGCGUGGAGCCAACCUUGAAAUACCACCCUUUAAUGUUUGAUGUUCUAACCUGGCGCCGUGAUCCGGCGUGGGGACAGUGUCUGGUGGGUAGUUUGACUGGGGCGGUCUCCUCCCAAAGUGUAACGGAGGAGCACGAAGGUCAGCUAAUCCUGGUCGGACAUCAGGAGGUUAGUGCAAUGGCAUAAGCUGGCUUGACUGCGAGAGUGACGGCUCGAGCAGGUGCGAAAGCAGGUCAUAGUGAUCCGGUGGUUCUGUAUGGAAGGGCCAUCGCUCAACGGAUAAAAGGUACUCCGGGGAUAACAGGCUGAUACCGCCCAAGAGUUCAUAUCGACGGCGGUGUUUGGCACCUCGAUGUCGGCUCAUCACAUCCUGGGGCUGAAGUAGGUCCCAAGGGUAUGGCUGUUCGCCAUUUAAAGUGGUACGCGAGCUGGGUUUAGAACGUCGUGAGACAGUUCGGUCCCUAUCUGCCGUGGGCGCUGGAGAAUUGAGGGGGGCUGCUCCCAGUACGAGAGGACCGGAGUGGACGCAUCACUGGUGUUCGGGUUGUCAUGCCAAUGGCACUGCCCGGUAGCUAAAUGCGGAAGAGAUAAGUGCUGAAAGCAUCUAAGCACGAAACUUGCCCCGAGAUGAGUUCUCCCUGAGACUGUAAGUCUCCUGAAGGAACGUUGAAGACGACGACGUUGAUAGGCCGGGUGUGUAAGCGCAGCGAUGCGUUGAGCUAACCGGUACUAAUGAACCGUGAGGCUUAACCUUACAACGCCAAAGAAGU
RNAcentral lists this ribosomal RNA (2927 nucleotides) under Cronobacter malonaticus. Its description in RNAcentral is "bacterial LSU rRNA". It matches the Rfam family "Bacterial large subunit ribosomal RNA". The record is from RNAcentral. Lineage: Bacteria; Pseudomonadati; Pseudomonadota; Gammaproteobacteria; Enterobacterales; Enterobacteriaceae.